Long non-coding RNA from Saccostrea cuccullata (small rock oyster), 467 nucleotides. RefSeq lists it as uncharacterized. The record is from RefSeq and is a predicted model, not a curated record. Lineage: Eukaryota; Metazoa; Mollusca; Bivalvia; Ostreida; Ostreidae. The transcript is spliced from 3 exons.
GUAACAAUCAUUGCUACAACAAAACUUGUUUGGAACCUUGAAGGUGACAUAGAUGGAUGUUGUUUUAUAUUUUGGAGGGGAAGCUGUCAAAGACAUCGAAACAAAACUGAAAAUCCUCAAGUUUAGCUAUAAUUGGGCCGAGGAAGUGGAAGGAUAUGAGAAAAGAAUGAAGGAAGCUGAUCAGAAGAAAGAAGAGACAGCGAAAGAAAUUGCAUCAAAAAAUAACAAGGGAGUCCUACAUUUGUAACUGAUCUAACGAAAGUGUUCCAGAACACAACAAUACUCAAUACAGCGACUGUAAGAAUGUUAAAUUGUUAGGAUUUGGAUUAUUUUAGCCUAAUAGACAUUUGAAAAAAAUAUGGACAUAUACUCAAAAUAAGAAAAUACACAUACAAUUGAUUGUUUAUCAUGAAAAGUAAUAGAGGUAUAUGUAGAGCAAAAAAUUCCCAGAAAGGAUACCUGAAUAA